RNAcentral lists this ribosomal RNA (254 nucleotides) under uncultured bacterium. Its description in RNAcentral is "partial 16S ribosomal RNA". It matches the Rfam family "Bacterial small subunit ribosomal RNA", at positions 524 to 776 of the family's 1533-position model. The record is from RNAcentral.
UACAGAGGGUGCAAGCGUUAAUCGGAAUUACUGGGCGUAAAGCGUGCGUAGACGGUUAUGUAAGUCAGAUGUGAAAGCCCAGGGCUCAACCUUGGAAUUGCAUUUGAGACUGCAUAGCUAGGGUGCGGAAGAGGGAAGCGGAAUUUCCGGUGGUAGCGGUGAAAUGCGUAGAUAUCGGAAGGAACACCAGUGGCGAAAGCGGCUUCCUGGUCCAGCACCGGACGUUCAGGCACGAAAGCGUGGGAGCAAACAGG